Molecule: non-coding RNA, 413 nt
Organism: Vigna umbellata (rice bean)
Lineage: Eukaryota; Viridiplantae; Streptophyta; Magnoliopsida; Fabales; Fabaceae
Source: RefSeq, a predicted model, not a curated record
CAGAACAUUGGCAGAAAUGGAUAUUAAAUCAACACCUAUCGACACCAAGGGCUUUCAGGAACUUGUUAAAUUGAAGGAGACCAUGAUAGGAAAUAGUUUUGAUUUGUUCAGUGGAUUAUUCGUGUAUAACAGAUUCGCCAGACAGGAGCUGGAAAACCUUGAACAUGCCUUGCAAAAAGUCAAAGAAACGCUGGUUGAAAGGAUGAACGAGGAGAAGGGUCAAGAAAAGAACUGAUGUUAUGCAUAAUUUUAUAUGAGAUAUAUUCUCGAACAAUCAAGUUUCCUCUUGUUCCAGUCAUAAAUUAUUCCCAUUUCAGUUUUACAGUUACCAAAAUGAAGUCAACUAAUAAACCAAAUACACUUGCAUAUGUUCAAUCUUGCUAUAAAAAUAUGGGAUGAUCUUGUUCCCAGUA